Planococcus citri (citrus mealybug) is the source of this 1857-nucleotide long non-coding RNA. RefSeq lists it as uncharacterized. The record is from RefSeq and is a predicted model, not a curated record. The transcript is spliced from 2 exons. Lineage: Eukaryota; Metazoa; Arthropoda; Insecta; Hemiptera; Pseudococcidae.
UACUACAUACGUUGUGUAUCGCUGUAGCAUUAAGCCUUACAAAUAUUUUUUUGUGCAGGCACCAUUUAGUUUUUUUUUAAUAGAACGGUUUUCAUUUUUUUUUCAUUUUUUUUUAGUUUUCAGCUGAUGAGGAUACUGUACAAUGUUUCACAUAAUAACGUCAAUUGUUAUCGUUCUGUUAACAUCAUAUUUGCAGACUGUGGAAAACAAAAUAUGGACACGUCGACCAAAUGUUACAUAUGAGAUACCAUUCGUCAUCCCCACUACAAUUCCUGACUAUUAUGAUGAUGUGCUGGGUCAUAUUAAUGACAGUCACUAUUACGUUGAUACCCAUGAGGAUAUUACAAAAAAAUAUGAAGAUGCUAAAACACGUAUAGUUGGAUGGAAACGUGUGUAUGCGAGUUUAAGAAUGCAUUAUCAAAAUUUCAGCACCCAUCAUCAAAAUUUAAGUGUCCAUCAUCAAAAUUUAAGCGCCCAUUAUAAAAAUCUAAGCGCACAUCAUUAUAAACAUGCUCAUAACGCUUACAUAAGGAUGUUGCGGGAUAAGGGAUGUUUCGAUCUUCUUCGGGAUUAUAUUCCUUCGAUAGAACGUGAUUUUAUUCAACACAAACAAGGCUUUGAAUCCGACUUUGAGAAGAGCAACCCAACUUUUACCAAUGAAUACAUCCAUUUACAUAAUAAUUUGCACAAAAUUUUUAUUGUCCACGAUGUACUUCGAUCGACUGGAUUGAAAUUUGAUAAUCGUAGCAUCUGUUCAUUCAAAUAUAUGUCCGCGAAGGAGUACUAUGGUCCAUUACCGAAAUACAUUAAGAACUGGCCAACAGACGACAGGAAUAAUUUAAAUAAAUGCGAGCAAUGGAUUUUCUUCCUGAAUGCAGUAAGAAAGGAGCAAUCGCCAAGUAAAAGCACUGAAAUACUAAUCUGGCAGACCAUUAUUGAGAAAUUUGAAAAAUUAACGAGAAAACCGUACCCAUUACUGGUACAAAAUAUAUUUAAUGCAUUGUACUGGUCGCACCAGCAUCAUCAUGUUCAUCAUGCGGUACAAUCUGCGAGUGAAGAUACAACGGAUAAGGAAACGUGCGCUGGCGGCAGAAAAAAAUAUGAACGAUGCGAAAAGAUGUAUUGUUUGUACUAUGGGUUGCUUACUUGGCAGUUCGGGAAAAAAACAACUUUUACACCCACAACAUCUCCAUUGACAACUCCGAUUUUCCAACAAUACUUGGAAGGAGGAAAGCCAACCACAACAGUUAAUCCUGAUGACACGACACCCGAUGACAUUUCUAUUGAUUGGUUUGGUUUAGGUACACGAACAAAAAAAAACAUCACAAACUAAAAAUCGCAAUCAUUACCGAGUACAGCAGUCUCAACAUUGAAGUAGGUACCUUGACAGAGGCUCCAGGAGGAUUAAAAAUCAUCAGUAAUCAAAUCUGGAGGUCAAAAAUAGGAUGCAAUCCAGAGUUCAGCUUUCUAGGCCAAUAUAGUGAAAUUUAAAUUCUUCCCUUGUUUUAUGCAAAAAUUUCAAUGUUUGAAAAUUCACCAAAAAAUUGAGAAAUAAAUUUCAGAUUUUGAAAUUUUGACUACAUAGAAGUGAAUUUUGAGAACACAUACGAGUAAGACGUAUCCACAACUGCGAUGAAAAGUGCGAUUAUUUCCUCAGGCUAUCAAAAAUACUUACUUUAUCGAGUUCACUGGUUUUGGCAGUGAAGUCGAAUCAUUAUACUAAACGAACUGGAACGUUACCAAAAGAACAUAAAACGAAUUACGAGUGCUAAUUGUAAGUACAAUUCAAAUAAAUAAAUAUAACACACAUUUAAAACAAUUGUCAUUCUUUGUUCCAAUUAAAUGAACUAAUGUUAA